GUGUCAGCAGCCGCGGUAAUACGGAGGAUCCAAGCGUUGUCCGGAUUUAUUGGGUUUAAAGGGUGCGUAGGCGGACUGAUAAGUCAGGGGUGAAAGCCGGUAGCUCAACUAUCGAAUUGCCUUUGAAACUGCCAGUCUUGAGUUUUGUUGAGGUAGGCGGAAUGUAUCAUGUAGCGGUGAAAUGCAUAGAUAUGAUACAGAACACCGAUUGCGAAGGCAGCUUACUAAGCAAAUACUGACGCUGAGGCACGAAAGCGUGGGGAUCAAACAGGAUUAGAUACCCCAGUAGUCC
RNAcentral lists this ribosomal RNA (292 nucleotides) under uncultured bacterium. Its description in RNAcentral is "partial 16S ribosomal RNA". It matches the Rfam family "Bacterial small subunit ribosomal RNA", at positions 505 to 796 of the family's 1533-position model. The record is from RNAcentral.